UGGGGGAUAUUGCACAAUGGGCGAAAGCCUGAUGCAGCGACGCCGCGUGGGGGAUGAAGGCUUUCGGGUUGUAAACCUCUUUCGCUAUCGAACAAGGCCCGCUUAGGGUGGGUUGAGGGUAGGUGGAGAAGAAGCGCCGGCUAACUACGUGCCAGCAGCCGCGGUAAUACGUAGGGCGCGAGCGUUGUCCGGAAUUAUUGGGCGUAAAGGGCUUGUAGGCGGCUUGUUGCGCCUGCUGUGAAAACGCGGGGCUUAACUUCGCGCGUGCAGUGGGUACGGGCAGGCUUGAGUGUGGUAGGGGUGACUGGAAUUCCAGGUGUAGCGGUGGAAUGCGCAGAUAUCUGGGGGAACACCGUUGGCGAAGGGAGGUCACUGGGCCAUUACUGACGCUGAGGAGCGAAAGCAUGGGUAGCGAACAGG
Molecule: ribosomal RNA, 420 nt
Filed under: bacterium
Lineage: Bacteria
Description: partial 16S ribosomal RNA
Rfam family: Bacterial small subunit ribosomal RNA
Source: RNAcentral